This 468-nucleotide ribosomal RNA is filed under the name uncultured bacterium. RNAcentral's name for it is "partial 16S ribosomal RNA". It matches the Rfam family "Bacterial small subunit ribosomal RNA", at positions 28 to 507 of the family's 1533-position model. The record is from RNAcentral.
GACGAACGCUGGCGGCGUGCUUAGCACAUGCAAGUCGAACGGAAAGGCCCUGCUUUUGUUGGGUGCUCGAGUGGCGAACGGGUGAGUAACACGUGAGUAACCUGCCCUUGACUUUGGGAUAACUUCAGGAAACUGGGGCUAAUACCGGAUAGGAGCUCCUGCUGCAUGGUGGGGGUUGGAAAGUUUCGGCGGUUGGGGAUGGACUCGCGGCUUAUCAGCUUGUUGGUGGGGUAGUGGCUUACCAAGGCUUUGACGGGUAGCCGGCCUGAGAGGGUGACCGGCCACAUUGGGACUGAGAUACGGCCCAGACUCCUACGGGAGGCAGCAGUGGGGAAUAUUGAAAAAUGGGCGGAAGCCUGAUGAAGCAACGCCGCGUGCGGGAUGACGGCCUUCGGGUUGUAAACCGCUUUAGCAUGUGACGAAGCGUGAGUGACGGUAAUGGGUAAAGAAGCACCGGCUAACUACGUG